RNAcentral lists this ribosomal RNA (156 nucleotides) under uncultured bacterium. RNAcentral describes it as "partial 16S ribosomal RNA". It matches the Rfam family "Bacterial small subunit ribosomal RNA", at positions 355 to 509 of the family's 1533-position model. The record is from RNAcentral.
UGAGGAAUAUUGGUCAAUGGACGAGAGUCUGAACCAGCCAAGUAGCGUGAAGGAUGACUGCCCUAUGGGUUGUAAACUUCUUUUAUAAAGGAAUAAAACGAGGCACGUGUGCCUUUUGCAUGUACUUUAUGAAUAAGGAUCGGCUAACUCCGUGCC